This 437-nucleotide ribosomal RNA is filed under the name Klebsiella pneumoniae. RNAcentral's name for it is "partial 23S ribosomal RNA". It matches the Rfam family "Bacterial large subunit ribosomal RNA", at positions 2506 to 2925 of the family's 2925-position model. Lineage: Bacteria; Pseudomonadati; Pseudomonadota; Gammaproteobacteria; Enterobacterales; Enterobacteriaceae. The record is from RNAcentral.
CGACGGCGGUGUUUGGCACCUCGAUGUCGGCUCAUCACAUCCUGGGGCUGAAGUAGGUCCCAAGGGUAUGGCUGUUCGCCAUUUAAAGUGGUACGCGAGCUGGGUUUAGAACGUCGUGAGACAGUUCGGUCCCUAUCUGCCGUGGGCGCUGGAGAAUUGAGGGGGGCUGCUCCUAGUACGAGAGGACCGGAGUGGACGCAUCACUGGUGUUCGGGUUGUCAUGCCAAUGGCACUGCCCGGUAGCUAAAUGCGGAAGAGAUAAGUGCUGAAAGCAUCUAAGCACGAAACUUGCCCCGAGAUGAGUUCUCCCUGAGACUAUAAGUCUCCUGAAGGAACGUUGAAGACGACGACGUUGAUAGGCCGGGUGUGUAAGCGCAGCGAUGCGUUGAGCUAACCGGUACUAAUGAACCGUGAGGCUUAACCUUACAACGCCGAAG